UGUCUCCCACCGCUUAGGGGUUGAACCAUUUAUGAAGACUUUAAUGUUGUUUGACCCUGAUGACAUCACUAUGUGUCACGAACCCCCAGUCGUGACCCUGACCUUCCUGUUGGGAUGUGUGUGUGUGUGUGAUUGUAGUUUUGAGUUCUUUUCCCCUUGGGGCGUUUAUGGUGUGCUUGGUGUAUUAUUGGUUUUUGUCUGUCUCUCUGUGUUCUGCUUCCUCCCUCAUGCUCUGGGGCUGCUGGUGGGCGUGGUUGCCUGAGCUCCUGUUGACGCACCUGAGACUCAUCCAUUUAAUCAGCACACCAGUGCCUCAGCCUACAAUCAACCCACCUUUAAAGGACCAGCCCAACCUUCCAGUCUCUGCCGGAUUGUUGUACCACACACAUACCUGCCCAUGCCUGACUCGGAUUCCCUCUUGCGCCACGAAAACCCCUGAGCUCUGGAACCAGGACCACAUGCCUCUUCGAACAACCACCCAUCCCCAAGCCACACCUGUCUCUCCCUUGUGUUCAAUAAAUCCUUACACUGCUCAUA
Molecule: long non-coding RNA, 537 nt
Organism: Micropterus dolomieu (smallmouth bass)
Lineage: Eukaryota; Metazoa; Chordata; Actinopteri; Centrarchiformes; Centrarchidae
Exons: 2
Source: RefSeq, a predicted model, not a curated record